GGAUUGCCUCAGUAACUGCGAGUGAAGCGGCAAAAGCUCAAAUUUGAAAUCUGGCGUCUUUUGGGCGCCCGAGUUGUAAUUUGGAGGAGCGUCUUCGGGAGCGGCACCGUCCUAAGUUCCGUGGAACCGGACGUCACAGAGGGUGAGAAUCCCGUGCCUGGGCGGUCUGUUCGUUCCCAUGUGAAGUGCUUCCGACGAGUCGAGUUGUUUGGGAAUGCAGCUCAAAAUGGGUGGUAAAUUUCAUCUAAAGCUAAAUAUUGGCGAGAGACCGAUAGCGCACAAGUAGAGUGAUCGAAAGAUGAAAAGCACUUUGAAAAGAGAGUUAAAAAGUACGUGAAAUUGUUGAAAGGGAAGCGCUUGAGAUCAAACUCGGCCUUUGGUGAAGCUUUGAGUUCGCUCGAAGCCGCUUGCCUUUGGCUGGGCCAGCAUCGGUUUCGGCGGUGGGAGAAACGGUGGAGGAAUGUAGCUCUCUUCGGGGAGUGUUAUAGCCUCUGUCAAAUACCACCAGUCGGGACUGAGGACCGCGCUUCAGGCUAGGAUGCUGGCGGAAUGGUCUUAAGCGACCCGUCUUGAAACACGGACCAAGGAGUCUAACAUCUAUGCGAGUGUUCGGGUGGAAAACCCUUGCGCGUAAUGAAAGUGAACGGAGGUGGGAACCGUAUGGUGCACCAUCGACCGAUCCCGAUGUUUUCGGAAGGAUUUGAGUAUGAGCAUAGCUGUUGGGACCCGAAAGAUGGUGAACUAUGCCUGAAUAGGGUGAAGCCAGAGGAAACUCUGGUGGAGGCUCGCA
RNAcentral lists this ribosomal RNA (790 nucleotides) under Octospora phagospora. Its description in RNAcentral is "eukaryotic LSU rRNA". It matches the Rfam family "Eukaryotic large subunit ribosomal RNA", at positions 72 to 879 of the family's 3401-position model. Lineage: Eukaryota; Fungi; Ascomycota; Pezizomycetes; Pezizales; Pyronemataceae. The record is from RNAcentral.